CCCUUAGAUGUUCUGGGCCGCACGCGUGCUACACUGAGUGGAUCAGCGGGUCAGGUUGCGCGAAAGCGUUUCCUAAUCUUUAAAUCCGCUCGUGAUGGGGAUUGACGGUUGCAAUUUUCUGUCAUGAACGAGGAAUACCUUGUAAGCGCGGGUCAUCAUCCCGCGCUGAAUACGUCCCUGCCCUUUGUACACACCGCCCGUCGCUCCUACCGAUUGAGUGGUCCGGUGAGGCUUUGGGAUCUGAGCGGAAAGAGCGUUUCGCUGUUUCUGCUCAGAAAACUCAGUCGAACCUUAUCAUUUAGAGGAAGGAGAAGUCGUAACA
RNAcentral lists this ribosomal RNA (322 nucleotides) under uncultured eukaryote. RNAcentral's name for it is "partial 18S ribosomal RNA". It matches the Rfam family "Eukaryotic small subunit ribosomal RNA", at positions 1470 to 1796 of the family's 1831-position model. The record is from RNAcentral.